RNAcentral lists this ribosomal RNA (207 nucleotides) under uncultured bacterium. RNAcentral describes it as "partial 16S ribosomal RNA". It matches the Rfam family "Bacterial small subunit ribosomal RNA", at positions 568 to 774 of the family's 1533-position model. The record is from RNAcentral.
CGCGUAGGCGGACUUUCAAGUCAGAUGUGAAAUCUGUCGGCUUAACCGGCAGUCUGCAUUUGAAACUGUUGGUCUUGAGUACAGGAGAGGAAAGCGGAAUUCCAGGUGUAGCGGUGAAAUGCGUAGAUAUCUGGAAGAACACCGGUUGCGAAGGCGGCCUUCUGGACUGAUACUGACGCUGAAGCGCGAAGGCUUGGGUAGCAAACA